GUCGCUCUGGUGUCUCUAUCAAAGUCACAACAGACACGUCAUAAACUGUAACUUCCCUGUUGAAGACCGACUCACAGACUCCUGCUGCUGCGUUUAACAGUGAAGAAAAUGAGAGUUCAGGUUGUGCUCCUGCUCUUUGCUCUGGUGGUUGCGCUUCAAGCGAUGCCAACUGCUCCCCAUAGGGACCGUGAAGUUAUUCCAGAUUACAUUUUUGAGAGAAGGGAGGCUGAUCCAACCAACUCAAAGACAAAUGACAACAAUAACAACAACAAUAACAACAAAGGCUCCAAGACAUAAAAGGACAAGAUGUCCAUCAGUGACGAUGAAGGGAAAUGGCUUUGAUAACGGACCCAUAACUUUAACCCCAAACUGUUUCAGCCAAAAGAUGUCACAAAUAAAUAAAUAAAAUAAUUACAUAUA
Long non-coding RNA from Epinephelus lanceolatus (giant grouper), 420 nucleotides. RefSeq lists it as uncharacterized. The record is from RefSeq and is a predicted model, not a curated record. Lineage: Eukaryota; Metazoa; Chordata; Actinopteri; Perciformes; Serranidae.